ACAAGUGCAACCAAACUUUGCACGGCCUCCUCUUUCAUCCAGAGGAAGGUUGAUGGCUGUGUUUGGAAGAAACAAAAAUUAAAGCAGAUAAUUGGUCUUCAGGCCUCAAUGGGGUCUUGCGCUUAUACACUGCCUAGACUUGUGCCGAUACACUGACAGAAGUUCGUAAAUAAAUUUCCGUGAAGAAGAAGAUUCCCCACAGAAGUGGAUCGAAAAGACUGAACAUUUUAAAAUGUGAUUUACAAAAACGUUUAAAAUUGUAAGGAAAGAAUAUUAGUGACAUUAGUAAUGUAGUGACAAGUUAAAGAAAUGAGCGAAAGAAGGAAAAACAGUCACAACGAGUUUGGACAUUCCUCACGUGAAAAAGGAAAUCUUGUCCAUUCAAUUUUUUUUUCUUCUCAAGGGAGCCAGAAAAAGGUGAGAAUAAAUAUAUAAAAAAAAGAGAAAACGAUUUUGGUGAGCGAAUCGAGAGAAAGCUGAAAGAAUAAGUGAGAAGAAUAAAGGCCGUUUUCCUUGAGGAGGCCCGAGGUGGUUUUCACCUCAGAGGAAGAAACUCGGCAAAAUGGCGGGGACGGGGAAAAAUGGCGGGGAAGAUAAAGACAUUAUGCCGAAUUCCCUGUACAGUAAGUGGAAAAAUCAACUUCUGGAGAAGUUAGAUGAAAUCGAAUUGAUGAAGGGGCAACUUUAUGUGAACCUGUUGAAGCACUUCCAAUUUCUAAAACGGGAUGUGUUUGUGGUGCUUAAUAAACACCACCCAAAAUCCCAUAAACAUCUGGAAUGUGUCGCAGCAAGACUGGAGCAGCAUUCUCUUACUUUGAGCUUAUGUUUGAAACUUUUGAGGUCUUUCAAGAAAAGUAAUUCAAUGCUGCCUAAUGAAGAAGAAGGAGCAGGAGAAGCGUGUGCUGAAGAAAACUCUGAUUUCAGGGAUUUGCAAGCCACACCAGAACCGACAGUUUCGUGUAAUGCUGCUUUCUAUUCUGCUGAAGGCAAUUCAAAGAAGAAGAGUAAAUCUACUUUGUCUCCACAAGCUAACCUUGCUCAAUGCCUUAACUCUACCAGCAAGCUUCAAAGCAGGGUGCAAGUCUUGAAUGAAAUUUUUGUGAAGGACCUAAAUGAUUUCCCUUUAUUGAUAGAUCUCGAGAACAUUAGUCCGAUAAAGUUACCCGAGUGCGGCUCAACAACCCUGGACUUUCCUCCAGUUGAAGAGGACACCAAAGUUCCAUGGAAUCCAUCCCUGACGGAGACUGAGGAAAGGAAGCACUUUCUUUGCGAUUCCUCAACUCUGAUCAUCCCUGAACUGCCUGUGAAGGACAAUAUGGAGAUGGAGACGACUGUGACACACAUUGUUAGUCCAACGUGUUUUUACCUUCAGCCACUCUCAUGCAGUGAACUUCACGACAUUAUGUCAGUCUUCAAGUUUCGUGAAUUCUUGCCCCACCGUUUUGGAGGAGAUAACGGGACGGACAGACAGAUGGAUGGAUGGACACAGAUGGAGCCGAAUACAA
RNAcentral lists this long non-coding RNA (1505 nucleotides) under Eptatretus burgeri (inshore hagfish). RNAcentral describes it as "lncRNA (ENSEBUG00000017503.1)". Lineage: Eukaryota; Metazoa; Chordata; Myxini; Myxiniformes; Myxinidae. The record is from RNAcentral.